UCGAUGAUUAUAAGUUUGCGGAAACAAACAGACGUAAAAUACACGGCGUUAUUCAAUUUUCCUUGCGAAUGUAUUGCAAAUCUAAAUUAGACGUUGCCGUUCAUUGCAUUUUGUCUGUUCAUGAUGAGUGAAGGCAAUUCUGUUAUUCCAAGCAUGCAAAAUAUUCACCAUUAUAAUAAAUAUGAUGGAAAAAUAGCAGGUUUAUACGACCUGGGAGAUGCAAUAGGACGCGGCCAUUUUGCAGUUGUUAAAUUGGCAAGACAUGUAUUCACUGGUGAGAAGGUUGCCGUAAAAGUAAUCGACAAAACAAAACUGGACGAUGUAUCUCGUGCUCACCUGUUCCAAGAGGUGAGAUGUAUGAAACUGGUGCAGCAUCCUAAUGUAGUGAGACUUUAUGAAGUGAUAGACACGCACACAAAACUUUAUUUAAUACUGGAGCUGGGAGAUGGUGGGGACAUGUAUGAUUAUAUUAUGAAACAUGACAAAGGAGUGAAUGAGGAAACCGCUAGAAAGUUUUUUCAGCAGAUUGUUCAUGCUAUAUCGUAUUGCCACCGACUUCACGUCGUGCAUCGUGACUUAAAGCCAGAAAAUGUAAUAUUUUUUGAAAAACUUGGAAUGGUUAAAUUAACAGACUUUGGCUUUAGUAACCGAUAUUACCCUGGACAAAAGCUGGAAACAUCAUGUGGAUCUUUAGCCUAUUCUGCACCAGAAAUUUUAUUAGGUGAUCUGUACGAUGCACCCAAAGUUGACGUAUGGAGUAUGGGUGUGAUUUUGUACAUGCUAGUUUGUGGCCACGCCCCUUUUCAGGAAGCCAACGAUAGUGAGACGCUGACGAUGAUAAUGGAUUGUAAAUAUUCACUUCCGAGUCACGUGUCAAAAGAAUGUAGCAAUCUGAUAGCAAGCAUGCUGGUACGAGAUCCGGAAAGACGAGCCACCUUAGAAGAGAUUGCGAACAACAGCUGGUUAAACUCUGGGGAUCUCAUUCAGCCAGCUGAUUAUCUACCUUUAAUUUCUCAUGAACAUCUUUCUGAGAAGGACCAUGCACUCAUUAUUCAGAAGUUGGUGAAGGGAAGCAUAGCUGCUAAGGAAGAGAUACUAGAAGCACUAAAAAAGAAUGAGUACAAUCACAUCACUGCUACGUACUUCCUGUUGGCAGAGAGAAGUCUUCGAGGUCAGCGGCAGGAAAAGGCCCGAAGGAUAAACAGAACUUCCAAAGGAGACCUUUCACCCAUUACAUCAGGAAACCCAAGUGACUUCUCACCGGGUCAGGAAAAACCAAACUCCGUACUUGAGAGUUUAAUAUCACCCCGAGUUGUAGCAAAACCACUGGGUUCAACCAACUUUCUUGCUCCUUCAAGUUUCUCAUCCACUGUUGCACAGAAUGGCCAGUCGUAUUUGCCGAUGGCACGUAAGUGUAGCGUAGUGUGCGAGGAAGAUGACGGCAGUAGCUCUGCAAAGUUGUUACCCCCACAAGCUUCAUUACCAACAAAGAAAGACAAGAGCAGCAUUCCUGUGCCACGCCCCACACUUCCUCUUUUUUUCCACAGCAGGAUAAAGUCUGCAACUAUUAAACCAAAACUAUCUCCAAUUUUAGCAUUUCCAAAUCAAAAAUUUAAAACUUUGCCUUCAUCUGGUAGAGGGCUUCAUGCUGUGAAAAGUUCUCCACAGUUGCUUCUAAAUGAAAUAGAUGAAGAAGUGGCAUCAGAUACUGAACCUUCUACAAAGACCCUCGGUUCCAAACAUUCACGAAAACACUUCCAGAGUGGAAAACGUAGUCCACAUUCUGUUUUAUCACAUGCAAUGUUUCGUCUGGUAGGACAGCGUCCAAAAAUAGGAAGAUCUCGUACAACUAGCUGCAGUAGCUCUGAGGCAAGUGAUGAUGAUGGUGAAGGGCUUAAACGAAAGAUGGGGAAGUUAAAGAGUUCAGGGAGAAGAGAUAGUAGUGAAGACCGUUCAGGUGGGCAGGGUGAGGGAUGUGGAGGAUCAGGACAAUCCGAGCCUGGAGCUGGAACAUCUCAUGGUAAUAUGAGUGGAGGAGGAGGUGGUGGUCAAAGUUCUGUAAAUAACAAGUCAGACGGUAGUAAAACCAACAGUAAUAAGUCACAAAGCCAACAAAAUGAGGCAGUAGAAGAGUCCAACCUUUCUAUACAACCUUCCUCUGUUAACACUACGGUACUUUCAACGGACAGCACUGAUAGUUUAGACAUAGAGCAAUGUCUCACCUGUUCUGUUUCUUGUGAUGAUCUUCUUGUGAAUUACACAGAGGACAACCAGUUGACAACUUCACAAGACAUUAAGUUUCAAGAAGAAUCUCCAGAACAGAAUUCGUUAUUUCCAAGACAAGAAGAUCCAAGCAACCUCACUCUUCAGGAAUCUUUAAGUUUCACAAAUCCCUCCAGUAAAGUUCCACUCAGUUUAAGCGUAAACAGUGGUUUCACUUUACUUCAACAAAUAGAAAAUCUUCCUUUGUACAGCAAAAAUGACAGUAAAUCGACAAGAAAAGAUCAAGGGCACCGACUGAAAAACAUAACUCACGGACUGACGCAACUGGUACAUUCUGCAACUAAGUUUGAUAUCAGUCAGAAUGGCUGGAGGGAACGUAGUCGUUCCAAAAGUAUGACCAGAAACAUCCAAUCUCUCAGAAAUGAACGCCAAGUUGUCGUCGACACGAAGCUUUCCUCCAAAUGCUGUACUUUGUGUUGACUUAAGUUACUACUUAUGGUAUACAGGUAAGACUAAAUAAAUCUGUAGUUCCCUUGUUUUAUAGAGAUCAGAUGAAAUAUGACAUAAACCUCAGCAGACAGUGGGUUUGUGAAAAUUGGAAGUACCUUUAGGCUCGUGUAAAUAGAACUCGGGUUGAUUUUACACCCCUGUGGUCAUGUGGUAGUUAUUUGUUUAACCUACACGCCACCAUGAGUUAGAUACCUGAUUGUAUACUACACGACCAGCUGCUCAGAACCCUACUUAACACAAAAAAUCAAAUAUUCAACGUGUAAUUUACGCAAGAUGAGAAAACACUACUAUACAUGUAUACCUUCCCGAGUCUAUUAAACAUAAUUUUUUUAAUUGUUAUAAAUUUAAUUAUUGCUUGUUUAAUAUUUUUGGAGGCACUGCCUUAUUAUAUUGUUAAGUUAAUCGUCAGUAAUUAUCUAUAUUGUUCGUUUCCAUGUACAUAGUUGUAGGUUAGUGAUAAAAACUUCAAGUGUUUAGAAUUAAAGUCACAAUAGAACAAAGUACAAAACUUUUUUUUAAUUUGCUGAAAUUCAAGGACACUACACAAAAUCAGUCACAACAGGGCACUAAUGAAAAGUGUUGGUGUGUGACUAGGAUCUAGUCACAUACACCAUUGCCCCCUGUGGUCCACAUAGAUAGCAACAACAUCUUAAUAAUGGUAAGACUAGUGUUAGAAAUCUACAAAAAUUAAUAUACACCCUAAACAUAGGGUAGCUUUCAGGCAUGUAUGCAUGUAUAUAUUCACAUGCACAUAUAGAUAUAUAUAUGUGCAUGUAUAU
RNAcentral lists this unclassified non-coding RNA (3512 nucleotides) under Limulus polyphemus (Atlantic horseshoe crab). Its description in RNAcentral is "sNF-related serine/threonine-protein kinase-like, transcript variant X1". The record is from RNAcentral. Lineage: Eukaryota; Metazoa; Arthropoda; Merostomata; Xiphosura; Limulidae.